CGUGUAGGCGGGCUGGAAAGUCAGGUGUUAAAUACUAUGGCUCAACCAUAGAGUGUCAUCUGAAACUCCCAGCCUUGAGUGCAGAAGAGGGUGGUAGAGUUCCCGGUGUAGCGGUGAAAUGCGUAGAUAUCGGGAGGAAUACCGGAGGCGAAGGCGGCCACCUGGUCUGAUACUGACGCUGAGGCGCGAAAGCGUGGGCAGCAAACA
This 207-nucleotide ribosomal RNA is filed under the name uncultured bacterium. Its description in RNAcentral is "partial 16S ribosomal RNA". It matches the Rfam family "Bacterial small subunit ribosomal RNA", at positions 568 to 774 of the family's 1533-position model. The record is from RNAcentral.